RNAcentral lists this ribosomal RNA (215 nucleotides) under Campeiostachys nutans. RNAcentral describes it as "Elymus nutans partial small subunit ribosomal RNA". The stretch from base 37 to 215 matches the Rfam family "Eukaryotic small subunit ribosomal RNA", at positions 684 to 864 of the family's 1831-position model. The record is from RNAcentral. Lineage: Eukaryota; Viridiplantae; Streptophyta; Magnoliopsida; Poales; Poaceae.
GGACCAUCAUGUCGGUCGUGCCUCGGUACGUACUGAUUUUAUUGGUUUCUCCCUUCUGACGAAUCAUGAUGUCAUUAAUUUGGUGUCGUGGAGAAUCAGGACUGUUACUUUGAAAAAAUUAGAGUGUUUAAAGCAGGCUCACGCUUGAAUACAUUAGCAUGGAAUAAUGAAAUAGGACGUUUGAUUCUAUUUUGUUGGUUUCUAGGAUCGACGUA